Molecule: ribosomal RNA, 492 nt
Filed under: uncultured bacterium
Lineage: Bacteria
Description: partial 16S ribosomal RNA
Rfam family: Bacterial small subunit ribosomal RNA
Source: RNAcentral
AGUGAACGCUGGCGGCAGGCUUAACACAUGCAAGUCGAACGGCAGCGCGGUCUUAGCCCGCGCUGCGGGGUGGCGACGGGUGGAUGGGUGAGGAAAACAUCGGCAUCUACUUUGUAGAGGGCGACGAAGGCGGGAAUCAUACCCCAAUACAGCAUACGACGUACGCGUGGGAGCGGGAGACCUUCGGCCCUUGCGCGAGUGGAUGUGCCGAUGUCGGAUUAGCUAGUUGGAGGGGUAAAGGCCCACCAAGGCGACGAUCCGUAGCUGGUCUGAGAGGAUGAUCAGCCACACUGGGACUGAGACACGGUCCAGACUCCUACGGGAGGCAGCAGUGGGGAAUUUUGGACAAUGGGCGCAAGCCUGAUCCAGCCAUGCCGCGUGCGUGAAGAAGGCCUUCGGGUUGUAAAGCGCUUUUGUUGGGGAAGAAAAGCUCCGGGCUAAUACCCCGGGGGUAUGACGGUACCGGAAGAAUAAGCACCGGCUAACUACGUG